AGUCGUACGCGAACGACCUUUCGGGGUUAAGUAGAGUGGCGAACGGGUUAGUAACGCGUGGGAACAUACACAGCACAGGGGGAUAACCAUUGGAAACGAUGGCUAAUACCGCAUACGCCCUAUUGGGGAAAGAUUUAUCGGUGUUGGAUUGGCCCGCGUUAGAUUAGCUAGUUGGUGGGGUAAUGGCUCACCAAGGCGACGAUUUAUAGCUGGUUUGAGAGGAUGAUCAGCAACACUGGAACUGAGACACGGUCCAGACUCCUACGGGAGGCAGCAGUCGGGAAUAUUGUGCAAUGGGGGCAACCCUGACACAGCCAUGCCGCGUGAGUGAAGAAGGCCUUAGGGUUGUAAAGCUCUUUCAGAUGUGAGGAUGAUGACGAUAGCAUCAGAAGAAGCUCCGGCUAACUUCGUGCCAGCAGCCGCGGUAAUACGAAGGGAGCUAGCGUNGUUCGGAAUUACUGGGCGUAAAGGGCGUG
RNAcentral lists this ribosomal RNA (476 nucleotides) under uncultured bacterium. RNAcentral's name for it is "bacterial SSU rRNA". It matches the Rfam family "Bacterial small subunit ribosomal RNA", at positions 60 to 571 of the family's 1533-position model. The record is from RNAcentral.